AGCGGAGGGAUCAUUACUGAGUUAUUAAAACUCCAAACCCUUUGUGAACCUUACUGUCGUUGCCUCGGCGUGAGCUACGGCUACCCUGUAGCUACCCUAUAGCUACCCUGCAGCUACCCUAUAGUUGACCAGUAGCUACCCUGUAGUUACCCUAUAGCUACCCUGCAGCUACCCUAUAGUUGACAUGUAGCUACCCUGUAGCCGGCUUAUGGCCCGCCGAAGGACCGCUAAACUCUUGUUUUUUUACCACUGUUUCUCUGAAUUGUAAACUUAAAUAAGUUAAAACUUUCAACAACGGAUCUCUUGGUUCUGGCAUCGAUGAAGAACGCAGCGAAAUGCGAUAAGUAAUGUGAAUUGCAGAAUUCAGUGAAUCAUCGAAUCUUUGAACGCACAUUGCGCCCAUUAGUAUUCUAGUGGGCAUGCCUAUUCGAGCGUCAUUUCGACCCUUAAGCCCCUGUUGCUUAGCGUUGGGAAUCUACAGCGUAGUUCCUUAAAGUUAGUGGCGGAGUUAGGGUACACUCUCAGCGUAGUAAUCUUUCUCGCUCGUGUGGUGGCCCUGGCUGCUAGCCGUUAAACCCCUAUAUUUUCUAGUGGUUGACCUCGGAUUAGGUAGGAAUACCCGCUGAACUUAAGCAU
This 636-nucleotide ribosomal RNA is filed under the name Sordariomycetes sp. RNAcentral's name for it is "eukaryotic LSU rRNA". The stretch from base 284 to 437 matches the Rfam family "5.8S ribosomal RNA". Lineage: Eukaryota; Fungi; Ascomycota; Sordariomycetes. The record is from RNAcentral.